Molecule: ribosomal RNA, 440 nt
Filed under: uncultured bacterium
Lineage: Bacteria
Description: partial 16S ribosomal RNA
Rfam family: Bacterial small subunit ribosomal RNA
Source: RNAcentral
CCUACGGUGUGCUGCAGUGGGGAAUAUUGCACAAUGGGGGAAACCCUGAUGCAGCGACGCCGCGUGAGAGAUGAAGUAUUUAGGUGUGUAAAGCUCUAUCAGCAGGGAAGAAAAUGACGGUACCUGACUAAGAAGCCCCGGCUAACUACGUGCCAGCAGCCGCGGUAAUACGUAGGGUGCAAGCGUUAUCCGGAUUUACUGGGGGUAAAGGGAGCGUAGACGGCGGUGCAGGCCAGAUGUGAAAGCCCGGGGCUCAACCCCGGGACGGCAUUUGGAACUGUGCUGCUAGAGUGUCGGAGAGGCAGGCGGAAUUCCUAGUGUAGCGGUGAAAUGCGUAGAUAUUAGGAGGAACACCAGUGGCGAAGGCGGCCUGCUGGACGAUGACUGACGUUGAGGCUCGAAAGCGUGGGGAGCAAACAGGAUUAGAUACCCCGGUAGUC